AUGCUUAUUUGUUUUGUUUUGCGGGCAUCUAUUAGAAAUGAUAUUUAUCUACUACUUGCAUGUUUUCUGAACUUUCUCUUGUAUUUUUCCGCACUCUCCUCACUCCCUCUUGUUUUGUGGGUGGUGGAAAAAGUGCAUGAAGUGCACAUGAACCGUAGCCAUGCUUGCUACCAACUAGAAGUGGCACCUGAAUGUAUGGCUCUAUUUGGACAAUGCCUGUGCUACGUUACAAAUUCUGUGCGCGCCAACAAUUUGGCGAACAAAUCUGCUGCCCUCGUUUUUCCAGCCAAAAAAUUAGUGUGGUUCUGCAAAUUGGAUCUCAAUCCAAACAUGGGCCUAUGGUACCUGUCAAUGCCAAUAUAUUGGAAGGGCAAGUCCUGGUGA
RNAcentral lists this ribosomal RNA (384 nucleotides) under Triticum aestivum (bread wheat). RNAcentral's name for it is "partial small subunit ribosomal RNA". The record is from RNAcentral. Lineage: Eukaryota; Viridiplantae; Streptophyta; Magnoliopsida; Poales; Poaceae.